UGGACAGUGCAGUUAUCCAUAAAGUAGAAAGCACUACUAGGCCUCUCUCCAAGUGUAGUGUUUCCUACUUUAUGGAUAAGUGUACUGUGA
RNAcentral lists this microRNA precursor (90 nucleotides) under Eptatretus burgeri (inshore hagfish). Its description in RNAcentral is "Danio rerio miR-142b stem-loop (ENSEBUG00000000004.1)". It matches the Rfam family "mir-142 microRNA precursor family". The record is from RNAcentral. Lineage: Eukaryota; Metazoa; Chordata; Myxini; Myxiniformes; Myxinidae.